CCUACGGGAGGCAGCAGUGGGGAAUAUUGCACAAUGGGCGCAAGUCUGAACCAGCCAUGCCGCGUGCAGGAUGACGGCUCUAUGAGUUGUAAACUGCUUUUGUACGAGGGUAAACGCAGAUACGUGUAUCUGUCUGAAAGUAUCGUACGAAUAAGGAUCGGCUAACUCCGUGCCAGCAGCCGCGGUAAUACGGAGGAUCCAAGCGUUAUCCGGAUUUAUUGGGUUUAAAGGGUGCGUAGGCGGUUUGAUAAGUUAGAGGUGAAAUACCGGUGCUUAACACCGGAACUGCCUCUAAUACUGUUGAACUAGAGAGUAGUUGCGGUAGGCGGAAUGUAUGGUGUAGCGGUGAAAUGCUUAGAGAUCAUACAGAACACCGAUUGCGAAGGCAGCUUACCAAACUAUAUCUGACGUUGAGGCACGAAAG
This 424-nucleotide ribosomal RNA is filed under the name uncultured Bacteroides sp. Its description in RNAcentral is "bacterial SSU rRNA". It matches the Rfam family "Bacterial small subunit ribosomal RNA", at positions 338 to 759 of the family's 1533-position model. The record is from RNAcentral. Lineage: Bacteria; Pseudomonadati; Bacteroidota; Bacteroidia; Bacteroidales; Bacteroidaceae.